GACGAACGCUGGCGGCGUGCUUAACACAUUCAAGUCGAACGGAAAUGCCCUGCUUUUGUGGGGUGCUCGAGUGGCGAACUGGUGAGUAACACGUGAGUAACCUGCCCUUGACUUUGGGAUAACUUCAGGAAACUGGGGCUAAUACCGGAUAGGAGCUCCUGCUGCAUGGUGGGGGUUGGAAAGUUUCGGCGGUUGGGGAUUGACUCGCGGCUUAUCAGCUUGUUGGUUGGGUAGUGGCUUACCAAGGCUUUGACGGGUAGCCGGCCUGAGAGGGUGACCGGCCAACUUGGGACUGAGAUACGGCCCAGACUCAUACGGGAGGCAGCAGUGGGGAAUCUUGCACAAUGGGCGGAAGCCUGAUGCAGCCACGCCGCGUGCGGGAUGAAGGCCUUCGGGUUGUAAACCGCUUUCGCCUGUGACGAAGCGUGAGUGACGGUAAUGGGUAAAGAAGCACCGGCUCCGUACGUG
This 468-nucleotide ribosomal RNA is filed under the name uncultured bacterium. Its description in RNAcentral is "partial 16S ribosomal RNA". It matches the Rfam family "Bacterial small subunit ribosomal RNA", at positions 28 to 507 of the family's 1533-position model. The record is from RNAcentral.